CUCAAAUCAGGUAGGACUACCCGCUGAACUUAAGC
RNAcentral lists this ribosomal RNA (35 nucleotides) under Papiliotrema laurentii. RNAcentral's name for it is "partial 28S ribosomal RNA". Lineage: Eukaryota; Fungi; Basidiomycota; Tremellomycetes; Tremellales; Rhynchogastremaceae. The record is from RNAcentral. RNAcentral also lists the same sequence under 3 other names.